RNAcentral lists this ribosomal RNA (119 nucleotides) under Triticum aestivum (bread wheat). The record is from RNAcentral. Lineage: Eukaryota; Viridiplantae; Streptophyta; Magnoliopsida; Poales; Poaceae.
GGAUGCGAUCAUACCAGCACUAAAGCACCGGAUUCCAUCAGAACUCCGAAGUUAAGUGUGCUUGGGCGAGAGUAGUACUAGGAUGGGUGACCUCCUGGGAAGUCCUCGUGUUGCAUUCC